AAUAAAUUUCAACCAAAUCUAAAGUUAAUCCUAAUUAAAAUCUUAGUAGUUCUUAUUUAAAUCUUAAGUCAAAUACUAAUUAAAUUCUAAAAAAAUCCUAAAUCCUAACUAAUUUCUAAAUCCUAAAUCAAAUCCUAAUUAAAUUAACCUAAUCUUGGGAUAGUUUAAAACUUUAAUAUCUAUUGAUUAUACCAUUGAUCUUGCUUAAGAUUUUAUACACCUUUUAACAAUUAAGUUGGAAAUAAGCACACAAAAUAUAAAGAAGAUCAAACUUGCCAUAUAGAAGAUUGAACCUAAAUUCUUCUCUGGUAAUGGCCAGCCUCCUACUCUAAUCUAAAUGUUGAAAUUUAAGUGCCAAUAUUCCCUUCUCAAACCAUUGAAUUGCCUCCAAAAUAUACUUAAACUAUGGAAAAUUAAGUUUCAUCUCUAUACAAAAAAAUUAACUUCAAUCCAAUCAAUAAAUUGCCAAAGAACUUAAAAAUACUCAUUGAUCUUUAAAUUCUAAUUUUUGAGACCUCAACUUGCAAAAACCUUUAUACAGUUUGAUCUAACUAUUUGAUUGACUUCAAAAUUUUUACACAUGCUAACAACUAAAACACCAAUACAUUGCCUAAAAUUUACUUAUUUAUACAACACAAAAU
Molecule: long non-coding RNA, 641 nt
Filed under: Physcomitrium patens
Lineage: Eukaryota; Viridiplantae; Streptophyta; Bryopsida; Funariales; Funariaceae
Description: long non-coding RNA (PPAT_LNC014548)
Source: RNAcentral